Molecule: long non-coding RNA, 1150 nt
Organism: Aegilops tauschii subsp. strangulata
Lineage: Eukaryota; Viridiplantae; Streptophyta; Magnoliopsida; Poales; Poaceae
Source: RefSeq, a predicted model, not a curated record
UGUGUUUGAUCCAUUGAGAGUGGAUGUGUUAUUUUGGUAGCAGCUAGCUCAGUGUCGUUUGCUAAAAAAAAAGCUACUUCAGAGUGGUCGCUAUGCCUCUUGCAGACACCUGGAUGUUAGUCGCCACUUCAGACACAUGUGCAUUUAUCCAACAACCAGAGGAAAAAACACCGUCGUCUCUUAGGGGCUGUUUGGAUGGCGCUCAGGCCAGCCACGCCAAAUCGCGGGCGAGCCAAAAAAUUGGCAAUGAAAUUCGCCGCCACGAAUCUACCCUGGCGUUGGCGCAGGAAACUAGCUGGCUACCAAAAUUUUGGCGUAGGCUAGCAAAUUUGGCUGCCAACCAAACAGGCACUUACCUCUCCCUACUCAGCUUCUAAUCCCCAUUCUCCAACCAUGGCGGGCGCUCACCUUCUCGCCCCUCCCCCUCCACCUCCGAGCGCCUUACCCAGCGGUUCCUCAACAGCUCGCAGCUGUCGCUCAAGUCGCUUCCGCUUCUCUCCUCCUGCCUCCCCCCUUGCUGUCGUCCGCCGCCGACCGGACUUGGAUGGACGAGCACAUCCUCAAGGCCAAGCAGGCGCGGUGCUCCAGCAGUCUGGCCUCCUCGGCGUCGACGCAGUCUGCAUCCAUCUAGAGUUCUAAAGAACAGAGGAAGAUUCCUGUGCUUGGAGUUGAGUCAUGUGAAUGUUUAGAUUUUUAAAGACAUAUAUUGUGUAGGAGGUUGAGGGACAUGAGGGCCGGCAGUGAGCUUAAAGCUCUGUUGCUAUUCAACGGUCUCAGAAAUCUCUUCAAAUAAACAGAUGAGGGAAUUGGACUAUGCCACGCCCGCUGGCCCUUCCCUUCCUUCCACCUCUCCCUCUUGUGCUCCUUCUCCUCCGUAUUGUACCUCCUCCGGCUACUGGCGCCCAUGGCCAGCACAACAGUUAAAAUUCUUCUUCUCAAUGUUUUAGUGUCCGUAUAUUUUUUAGUUUUGUUUCUUUGGUAGUGUUGUUGCUUCACAGUUGAACUAUAUGUGUAAUAACUAUCAGUAGUCUAGGUUUGAGCAUUAGAAUCGUUUUAGAAUCAGAUAAAAAAUUAAUUUGAUCUGAUCCUGUUUUCCUAUUGUCUAAUCUUGGAGUAAGUUUCUCUUGAAUAUAUGUGAUCUGUUCUGUCA